Molecule: ribosomal RNA, 395 nt
Filed under: uncultured bacterium
Lineage: Bacteria
Description: partial 16S ribosomal RNA
Rfam family: Bacterial small subunit ribosomal RNA
Source: RNAcentral
AUACGUAGGUGACAAGCGUUAUCCGGAUUUACUGGGCGUAAAGGGCGUGUAGGCGGUCUUGCAAGUCAGAAGUGAAAUUCCUGAGCUCAACUCGGGCGCUGCUUCUGAAACUGCAGGACUUGAGUGCUGGAGGGGAUAGCGGAAUUCCUAGUGGAGCGGUAAAAUGCGCAGAUAUUAGGAAGAACACCGGUGGCGAAGGCGGCUAUCUGGACAGUAACUGACGCUGAGGCGCGAAAGCGUGGGGAGCAAACGGGAUUAGAUACCCCGGUAGUCCUGGCAGUAAACGAUGUAUGCUGGGUGUGAGACUAGCGAUAGUUUCGUGCCGAAGUUAACGCGAUAAGCAUACCGCCUGGGGAGUACGGUCGCAAGAUUGAAACUCAAAUGAAUUGACGGGG